GAAGCAGAAUUUGUAGAACAGUUAUAUCUCUUUUACUUUCAAGAUAAGCUAUUGUCUCCAGAUUGACAUUACAUCUCUUAAGGUCUUCAUAAAACACCACUAAUCCAUUUUUAUUCUUGAAUUUGGAUCCAAUGAUUUUCAUCUGAUUCAUAAGCUCUGAAUUGCAUCCAUAUGAAAUCGAUUAUAAAGAAUGAGUUGACAUAACAUUCUGCAGCCAAGAGUAUGGCUUCUAUUGCAGCUUCAUGGCUUUCUGGGGUUAUGUCAUGCUGGGAACACAAAUCAGCUGCCAAACGUUCAAAUUGAGAGGCCCUAUAUACCGAAUCUUGAUAGUUUACAAGUUGUAGAUAAUCUGCUUGUGAAUACAAGUAAUCAGCGAAGAAACCAAUAUUCUGAAAGUUGUUAUUUGAUAUCUUAUUCACCUCUGAAACACCACAACAAGAAUUCAAUCUGAUCCAGUCCCCAGUAAAAUAAUUGGAAACACUUGUCAGAACAAUUUUUGACAGAUUUCUAGGAGCAAACUGCAGGUUAGCAUCUUGGAGUACAUCUUUUCUUGUGGCAGCUUUAGAUGCAUCAAUCUUUCUCUUUGCUUCAUCCGGACUACUGGAUGUGCUAGAAGCCCAAUGAGAACAUAUCACAGAGUCAGAAGAAACAGCUAAAGACUCUUGAUCAGCCACUUUAGGAAAUGAACAUUUGCAAAGGUCAAUAUCCGAAGGAAAUGGCAUAUGUGGCCCCAAAUCAGAAAGGAGUACAAUAGUGAAGACAGUAUAUUGUCAGCUAAAUGAAUACCAAGUAAUGUAACAACCAACAAGGUGCAUUUGAUAAGAUUCCUUUUGUUGCAGGGAAUAAAAAACAAAAAAUAAUUUCUUUUUUUUUUUUACUCACAUCUUUUUAAACUGCAGUCUUCACCAAUCACUUCAUUCUCUCUCUUUGCAUCUCCAAAAAUAAGCAUUAUAAAGUAUAAACUAUAAAGAUGUUAAAGUUUUUUUAAUUUCUCUAUGAUAUUAGCAUAUGCUGUUACAAUAGACCUUGGUGCAAUAGAUUCACGUCUCCAUUCAGAUUCCACAAAAGGAAGAAUGGCAGGCCUUCGUAAUGCAGUACAUAUAACAUUGAAUGCAAUACAACAGUUCUUCUAUUUCUCCAAGUGUAUAUCAUUAGCAUCUUCAGAAGUUGUAUUCUUUGUUCCAGUAAUCACAGGAUCAAGGAAGGGUUCUAGCAUCUCUAAAAGAAAUAGAAGCCUAUGUUUAAAUUCCUACACGGAUGGUAAAAGCAUCAUCUAUCUGAUUGGAAAGAGUAAGCAAAAUUAUGCUUGAUACUUUAAUAGAAGGUCAAACCUUAUAUUUUGACAGUACAUCAUCCAUAUGCCCAGACAAGGCCAGCAAGAUAUAUUUCAAAGCAAGGAUUGAAACAUCGUACCGUACCGGCGUUUCGAGGUUGGCUCGAUAUGGUACGGUACGCCUAAUUUAGAUGUAAUGGAGUUUAAGAUAACACAAAUAUGAGAAAAAAAGAGUUUGAGAUAGUUUAACAGAGUAUGAGAAUGAAAUGGAGUGAAAUAGGGGAGAAGAAUGGUUUAAAAACAUGAGAAGGGUUUGAGAUAGUUUAAGCGUUCCGCCUGGUAAUGGAUGGUCCGCAUACCGGUAACCUAUCGGACCGGUACGUACUGCCUAUACCGGGUGGUACCAUUCGAAAUUGUAUACCUUGCUUCAAAGCAGCAUAAGCACGACUAGUAGAUUAUGGAAACACCCGGUAGGGGCAUUAUGAACAGAGUCAACCAAACAUGAAGCAUGAAAAUAAGUGCAUAAUCUAUCAUACGAAAUUUUUUCCUUUUCUUGAAUUUUUAUUCAGGAGGAAGUGGAUAGAAUUUGGAUAAUAACGGGGGCAUUGUGAUGAAAUUCACAGUUUCUUGAGCACACAGAUGAAAGAUGGAUGUCACAUACAGGGUUCAUGAACUAAAAAGCACUAAAUCACAGUAACUAGAACUAAAGGACUUGCAUUCACAGGAUUUGAAGUGUAUAUUUUAAGUGUAUAUUGGUAUCUUAGAAACAUAUAAAAAAUAAUCUGCUACCCAUUAAGAAAUAUAUAGCUUUCCAAGCCACAAUAGUAGUUAUAUUGGUCCAUAAAAGUCCCAUAAGAGUUGAGCACAACACUCCAAAGAACUCUGUACAAGGCUGUGUCAUAGUUGUAUCAUCAGAACACUCAAACAGUAGGUUCUUUAUUGGCUCUCUAGAAAAAAAGGAAAACUCCAAUCCAACAGACAAAAGUUUCAGUUUCACAAUAACUGCUAUGAUGAUCAGGAUCAAAUUCAAGAGAUCAGGGUUUUAUUCAAGUGUACAAAUGACUGAUAUUGUUGGAAUCUUCAUAAUAAGGUAAUAGAUGGAUCACAAAAUAACAUCUAUGAUAGGUCAUAGAAAGUUUUUUUUUAGUUCAUCAGGAUGGACAUGUCAGUACAAUACAUGCCGAUCAGCAUGGUUUAAACAUAUGGCUGGAACAAGCCUUGUGCUUGAUUGUGUGUUCAGGGACAUCCUUGGUAUAAAACUAAACUCCAUGCUAGUAUUAUACUAGCAUAACAUAGUUCGACAAUCAUUAACCACUUCUAGCAAACUUGAAAUAUUAUCAUACAUCAUCAAAUGGUGAAACUAAUUGCCAUCUGAACAAUCAUCAUCAAAUAUUAUACCACAGCAGAACAAAUUGCCUCUGAACUUCAUAGUCUUUGUUAUGCUAGGACUAUGAUGUUCAAAUCAAAUAACAUUUUUCUCAAAAUGAGAAGAUUAUUUCAAGAGAAAAUUAGUGAUUGAUAAUUUGACCAUCCACAAUAAAUCACAAUGUAUUAACCACAAAAAAGGUCAGAUCUGCACCAAGAAGUGACCAAGUACUCAUCAAACAUAGAUAGUUUUAAUUGCUUAUGUUAGAUAAUUCACCAAACAUUAUUUAUAUAUUUUCAUGAUGAAUAGGUUAAUUAUGAUGAUCAUGAUUUAUAUACAUCUACCUAUUCUAACAUUAAAUAAAUACCAAAUUUUGUCACAUUAAAUAGUAAACAUUAUACAUUGAUACAUGCCCAUAUCCAUCAUAUCAAUAUCUUGCACUUGUAUCCAUGACUUCAUAACCAACCAACCAACCAAAGGAGCAUUCAUUAUAAUAAAGAAUUAAGCCUUCAUAACAGUAAUAAAAACAAGAAGAAUGAUGGAAUUACUUGAAUAACACCAAGAGGUCCUCCGGAAGUUCAAUUGCA
RNAcentral lists this long non-coding RNA (3226 nucleotides) under Musa acuminata (dwarf banana). Its description in RNAcentral is "long non-coding RNA (MACU_LNC011275)". Lineage: Eukaryota; Viridiplantae; Streptophyta; Magnoliopsida; Zingiberales; Musaceae. The record is from RNAcentral.